CCACAGCCCUGCAAGCUGCUCUACCUGCCCGCCCGCCCGCACACCUUGGGCUGAAGCAGACACAUCAGGCUGGGGACACUGGACCCACAAACGCUCACCAGCUCCUGUCCCCAUCUCCUCCCAGAGAGAGAGAGGGUCUGGGGGUGCAGCUCUCCGUUUCCCCACCCCAGCUCUCAAAGACGAUUUAGGGAAGGAGCCAGUCUUCUCCUGCAGGGCUUCCCCUCCCUGUGUCCUCCCAAACCUCCCCAUGCUGGGUCACCUCUCCCCAAAAUCAGUCCUAAACCUUCUGGAAACAACAACAACAAAUCUUUGGGUCUCUAAGCCCUACAAGCAGGGCCAGCUAAGAUUCAGGGGAAUUUCUAUUCUCGCCCCGUCCCUGUGGGAACGUGGGCUAGUGCCUCCUCUCCUCAUCUCAGGUCCCUCUUCCCCUGAGCUACACCCUCAGCCCUUUUUAUUCUUUUUAUUUUCAGAUAGGAUCUCGCUAAGAGGCCCAAGUGGCCUCGAACUUGCAACCCUCCUGCCCCAGGCUCCAGAGUCCCUAGGAUUCAGGUAUGUGCCACCAUGCGCGGCCAGCAUCUUAUCUUAACAUGAGAGGGCUGAGUGGGGUGGGGGGAGGUGGCUGGUUUCAUUCUGAAUGCCUGGUGCCCUUGGUAGUGGCUGUCUGGGGCUCUGAUUGAGAAGGACUCAGAGGCCAGACUUUGUAAAAAAAAGGAUCAUGGAGCCAGGUGUGUCUGGGUGGGGACAGGGCAGCCACAGCAGAGUCUCCUGGCCUUCACCAGCUCUGGACUAGGACUGAGCACCCCUCUGUGGGGAGGUGGGGUGCGCUCCAUCCCUCUGGGCUUCAUGCCAAUCCACUUCCUUUCACAGCACCUGGGAAGGUGCCUGUCCUGUCCAAGCCACUGCCCAAGAGCGGGCUUCACUGUUGGCCCUUGUCACCAGGCAGGGCCUUUUCCUGAUGAAAGUCUUCUUUUUCAACCUGCUAAGAACCACGUGGCUGUCAUUUGACGCCCAUCUGUCUCCAUCCUACCUUAAUCUUGUUUGAAUCUUUUUUGAAAUUAAAAAAAGUACAAAGCAAGAUAUAAGGAAGCCCCAUAUCCUGCUACCCACGAUUGACAGGUGUUAACUACCGGGCUGUCCCUGUUCCCCUGUGACCUCGUGUCACAUCAACGUGACCCCAUGGGCCUCCUGGCUGUUCCUGGAACACAGGAAGCAGCUCCCUCCGUGGGUCUUUGCUGUGACAGUUCCCUCCAUCUGGAGCAAGCUUCCUCCAGAAGCCUUGGUGACUCCCUCACAUCCUCACUUCCCUCCAUCUCUGCCCAGAUGUCACCUCUUCAGAGCGGCUUCCCUGAACCCUCACUGAAGUAGCUGCCUGACUUCUUUGUAGCCCUUGGUGAGAUUCCCUGUCUAUUUAUCAUGUGCCUCGCACAUCGCAGCUGGAAUCUUGUCUGAUGUGCUCUCUGCUGGGUCCCUGGGGGGUCCCUGGCACCUAGAAAGCAUCACAGAGAAAAUUAGCUAUGGAAAAAAAGGGGGGGGAGGGCUCUUGGUAAACACGUGUUGAAUUAUUUUUUUGCCACAAAUGCUUUUAUUUUAUAAUUGAAAUGGAAGCUCUUGCCAGACAUGAUGGCACAUGCCUGUAAUGCCAGGGACUCUGGAGGCUGAGGCAGGAGGGUCACAAGUUUGAGGCCAGCCCCAGCAAUUUAGCAAGGCCCCAAGCAGCUUAGCAAAUAAAAUUUAAAAAAAGACUGGGGAUGUGGCCCAGUGGGAAAGCACCCCUGGGUUCAAUCCCCAGGACCUGAAAAGAAAAAACAGGAAGCCCUUGACUUUAGAGCCCAGUUCUCACUACGGUGCCUUUUCUCCAAGCACGACAAUUACUCUGAGUUUACCGUACUUCUCUCUAGUCCAUUUUCCGCCUCCGUAAAUGAACAGUGUCGAGUAUUACAGCCGGCCCUCUGUAUCUGCGGGUUUUGAAUUUACAGAUUCAUGCAACCGAGCAUUGAAAAUAAUCUAAAACACAAUAAAAUGUUGCACGUGUACUGAGCACGCCCAGACUUCUUUCUGUGUUUAUUCCCUGAGCAGCCUGACAACUCUCCCGGGGCACUCAGGUAUUAGAAGGAUCUGGAGAUGGUGGAGAGUAGCCAGGAGAACGUUUGCGGUUAUAUGCAAACACUGUGGAGCGGGGACUUGAGCGUCCCUGGGUUUUUGUAUUUGAAGGAAGAGGUCCUGGAACCCAUCCCUGUGGACAGUGAGAGAUGACUGCUUCCCGCAGUCAGGGUCGACGUCUCCACCACCAAUGUUUCUGAGAACAUUCCAAGUUGAUGGGUUCUGGGUUCCGAUCUGACCCCCACCCCCACCCCAUCCACUCCUUGCCCCGUCUGCUUCCCUGUCGCGGCUGUUGGUGUUGAACCUCUGCUCUGUCCCCUGCGCGGCCAUGCACAUGCUGACACCUGCCUUCCCAGGCACGGGGCUAAGAGUUUCUCUAGGUCGUGAACCUAGAAAGUAGAACUGCCGGGCGGGCAGGGGGCGGGGCUGCACAUUUUCCUUUUUGCUGGGUCCUGCCAAAUCCCUCUCCCUAGGGGCAGUACCCACGAUGGAGCGGGCCAGCGGCUCGUGAGACUCCCACGUGCCACGUCUGCAGCCGCUGGGAACCCACAGGAGUUUCCUUCUACAGCCUCGGUGUCUUCCAAGUGCUUCCCGCUCUCGCCUCCCCAAGGCCCUGCAGGAUUCCUCUUAUUUGAUGGAUGAGCGAGGGGGACCCUGGGUCUCUCUGGGGACCCUCUAACCCCACUCCCACUCCCUUGUCCUCCAUUCUGUCCAACUCUACCCCCCCUCACUGCGUCUCAUUCCAGCCCAGGGGGACCUAAGGAGCAGCUGGUCCCUUCCCGGACCACAAGUCUCCAGACUCGGAGAAGAGCGGCAGCUGGCUUCCCAUUUAGAUAUUAUCUCCUCUGGGCUCAGCUUCCCCGCCGCC
RNAcentral lists this long non-coding RNA (2968 nucleotides) under Marmota monax (woodchuck). The record is from RNAcentral. Lineage: Eukaryota; Metazoa; Chordata; Mammalia; Rodentia; Sciuridae.